CGUGUGUGUGUGAGCUCAUGUGUGUGUGUUUGUGUGUGUGUGUUUACAGUAUUCACUUGCAUAUUGUUGGCAGGUACUAAAGUUGCUAUCUUUAAAGACUGGGAGGAAACCUGAAUGAGUUUGCUGAGCAGUGUCUGCCAGGAUUAUUAUUGAUAAGGCACAUACAGAGAUAAGGAAGACAAGAUGUCUUCACUGUAACAUCUAGAGUUUUGUGUGUGAUUCUCAGAUGUCUGAGGAAGGAAUGAGACCCUACCCAAAGGUAUAAACAUUCAGGCCAUAUGCCUAGCUCAUUGUCACUUUAAUAUAAACUAUCUAUGUAUGAGAAGACUAUUAUUUCCGUUAGCAGCCUUCACAGCAAAUGUUGUUCAUUGGGCUGAGGUUUUGGCUUCUUGGUUGGCCCAGGUUUUACUCAGACUCCAGAAUGAGGGACCCCUCCCUUUCCCAUGGCAACAUAAUUUCCCUGCCUUUUCAUCCUACCUCAGCUUGACAAGAAGGGAAUCUCAAUACAGAAGGACCAUGCACAUAAUAGACAUACAGUGCUCAUUGUAUUAUAAAAUGCUGCAGCUAACUGUGCUGGAAAGCAAUCUUGCAGUUCUCAAAGAGUGGAACAUGGGAAUUAUCGCCCAAUAAUUCCACUCCUACACGUACACUCAAGAAUGAAGUAUUUGUCCAUAUAAAACCUUGUAUGAAAAUAUUAUUAGAACAGCAUGUGCAAUAUGUAUAAUAAAAUAGAAAUAAUCCAGAGGUCUAUUAACUGAUGAAUGGAUGAAGAAUAUAUAAUAUUCUUAUAAUGUCAUUCAAUACUAAAGAAAUAGAAUUUUUAAAAUAUACCAUCCGGUUAGCUGAAUCUUAAAAAUAUUAUUGUAUGUGAAAGAAGUUGCUCAAAAUAUUGUGGUAUUUGACUUCACUUAUAUAUCAUAUUAAGAGAGCACAAGGGUAUAGAAAGGAAUGUAGAUUAGUGGCCACAGUAGUCUUGGGGGUAAGGGAAGGUUGUAGGGAGUGACUGCUAAAGAUAAUGGAUUUUCUCUAGUACUAAUGAAAUUUGUGAGGGUCUAUGAAAUCACUAAAAUAAAUAUUGAAGUGUGUGCUUUGCAGAGUGAAAUAUAUGAUAUAUGAAUUCUGUCAAUACAUCUACUUUUAAAAGUCUUAAGGCAAUUGUGAAAUUAUCAAGUACAACAAAUGCAACCUUGACUGAACUUGUCUAUCCCCAUGUAGAGGAAGGUUCAUAAGAUAUUAAAACACCAUAAUAUAGAAAAAUAAAAAUAUGUGCAAAACAGAAAUAAGUUAAUUCUAUGCUUAGGAAAAAAAAACUUAUACCUUUAAGGACUUACUUUAGAAAGAAAAAUACUAACAUCUUCUGCCUCCUGAAUUUAGAAAGAAAAUAAAAAUAUCAGACAAAAGAUAAACAGAAAAUAGCAAAUUAUAAUGAGCAGAGUGACAGCCCAUGGGAAAAAAAGAGAGAAGAAGCUAAAAUUGUUAUUUGAUCAACUGAUCAAAUUUUAGUUACUCUGACAUGAAGAGAGAGACAGAGACAGAGAAAGAGUGAGCAAGAGAGAGAGAGAGAGAGAGAGAGAGAGAGAGAGAGAGAGAGAGAGAGAGAGAGAGAGAGAUUGUUGUCAAGCCAGGAAUGAUUAAGGAAGCGGGAGCAGUGACCCCCAGACUGGAGGAUAAGAUGGGUAUACUACAACUCCGUUCAUACCAACACAUAUGAAGGCAUGCCAGCACAACACACAGUUGGCAUUUCUUCACUCGCUGCCUUUGGAUUUCUAUUUUAAUUCCUAAAUUAAACAAGCAUUGUAACUUUAGUCCUCAUGAGAUGAUAAUUUGAACGUAAAGGGCUUUUUAAUUUUUAAGAAUGGUUCCUUCUCUCAGGAUCAUCUCCUCCUCUGUGGCUCCAUGUUAUAUGACAACUAAAGUCUAAGGCAUCAGAGUCAUUUAAAAAUAAGGGAUACCAGGCUGGUGGUAUCCUCUAUCAACAGGGGACUGGCCCGUCAAGCAAAAUGCCAUGGAUUCAAUGCUAGUGCAGCUUCUAAGACCUGGGCUGGACUUUGGACAAACAGGGACACUGGACAUGCCUCAUAUUGCUUAAGACAAAGCAAGGUCAGUCUCCCAAAUUCCUCCUCCACAAGAAGCUCUCUCAGAUUUGCGGGCUUGGCAACAGAAGAUUGGUCCUGCCCUGGGACCUGUGUCCCCAAGGAAUCCAUCAGCAUAACAGAAACCUAAUGCGAAAGUCUGGUAAUGGCCUAAGUGAGCACCACUGUCUACAAGCUACAUAGUAAGACACGAGAGGCACCUGGAUAUCUUAUAGGUGAGCCAACUGGCCUGACAGAUCCAUUGUCUGAUGCCAUCCCCAUCCUUCAGCCUAAAACAUCUUAUCAACCCUGAGCUAGGGACCCAUUGUGAUACCCACAUCCAGGACUCUCUCCUGAUAUAAGGGGCUUCCUUUCUUCUUCAUUUCCCACCUAUGAAAAAUAAGCUCCUACCUAUGGAGUAAUAAUAAAAGUGCUUUCCAAAAUCUCACCUUCCUCUUGGUCCAUGAAAUUUACUUCCUAAUGCAAUCUCAUCCUUCAAAUCUGUAAAACAAAAAUCCAGAGCCACUUACAAAGAGGAAGCUUUGUGAGAUCAUGAGUUUCUGGUACCUAAUUCCUGAGUUAUAUCCACCUGAAAUAAGAAAGCACCUGUUGUUCUCAGGGAUUUCUGCCCUUCUCCUGCUUCAAUACAGCUAUGGUGGGUGGGAUAGCAAGCUGCUGUGAGAGACGCUCAGCCCAUGCUCCUCCUGUAAGCCAGUCCAAAUUCCUUAAACUCAUCAGUUCACCAAGGUGGACUUACUGACAAGAGGCAUGUGCUAUCGUGCCUUUCUUAUUACAGUAGGUUUUGGGUCUAUGAAACAAACGAUUGUUACAACUGCUAGAAGCAAAACAAACAAACAAGUCACACAUGACCUUUUAUGAGAGGCCACAGCAGGAUUUACCUCUCUGUGCUCCAUCAAGGCAAUCAAAGUGGCAAGCUUUUAAAUAAAUUGACUUUGAACAGUCAAUUAUUUUUCUCCCUUAACAGUACAGUUGUUUGGCCAGAAUCUAAGUUAUUUUACCAAGUUUUAAAUAAAUGUUAUGCAACUACCAAGUGAAAAGGAUCUUUAACAUUAUCUGGUUAACCUCUCAUGAAAUCUUGAAUUUCUACCAAAAAUUCUCCAUGGAAACAGCUUUUAGUUAAGAUUGCAAUUUGAGAUUCUUUACAGCAGUUGUAGUUUCUAACCUAAGGAUGAGAUUGCAUUAGGAAGUCUAAAAUCUGGGUCUGAGACCUUUUUCAUCUGAGAGAUGAAUGGCUAGGAUUGUAGAGAUGUAGUAUCUAUGACAACAUAGCCAUUUUUCUUGUAGGGCCAACUGAUCCAAACAGCGAGUGAUCAAUGAAUGAUUUGGCCUUUAUUAUCAACCCCAACAAAGAGAGUCAUCUGGACCUAAUGCUAACAAUUAUGGUAGUAAAACAGUUAUAUGAGGAUGGCCUGUAUCUUGAAAAUUUUUUAAUUACAUAGAUUAAGAAACAUUUAAGUUAUCAAGAAAUUUCAAUGUAUUUAGCCACAUCUCCUGGCUUCUAUUCAACAGAAAGUGGUAGGAAAUUAACAUUUACUACUUGCCAGUAUUUGUACCAGGAUUUUCAUCUGAGUUAUCUUAUUUAACCAUAACAGUUUAGAAUCUUGUCUUGCAUAUUUGCUCAUGGUUACAUAGUUAGUAAGCAGCAAUCUAUAAUUCUAAAAUUUAACUGUAAAAAUGGAGGUACGAUAUUAUAGAUUUGUCAAACCCACAGAAGUGCACAUCAUGAAAAGUGAGCCCUAAUGUUUAGUUAAUAAUAACAUAUCAAUAUUUACUCACCAGUUGUAAUAAAUGAGCCACAAUUGUGUAUCAAUAUUCACUCACCAAUUGUAAUAAAUGUGCUAUACUAAUUCAAGAAGUUAAUAAUGAAGGAAACUAAGUGAGAGGUGAGAGAUGUGUGGAAGUUUAAUUGUUCAUUCUUGUAUACCUAAAAGUACUUGCUAUAAAGUGAUCUACUUUUCAAAAGUUAAGAUUUACAUGCCCCCAGAUUUAACUGUCCAAUUAUUUGUCUUGCAUUUAUUCUGGUCAGGGUUUCAAACCCCCACCUCUAUGGACAUUAUGCUUGUCAAGGUCAUUUGAGGACACUGCCAUAUUGGAUCCAACUCUUUACUUUCAUCUGACUUAACUUAUCAACAGUAUUAGAUACAUUUAGUAUAAUUUCUGAUGGCUUCUAGGCUAUCAUAGUUAUCAUGAUGUUAUAUUUUUUUCUUUGUAUGGUCCUUCCUAUGAGCUUUUGCUCUUUUCAACUUUUGCAUGUGUGUGUGUGUGUGUGUGUGUGUGUGUGUGUGUGUGUGUGUGUGUGUGUGUAUCUUACUAUAUAAGGACCCCAGAG
Molecule: long non-coding RNA, 4422 nt
Organism: Mus caroli (Ryukyu mouse)
Lineage: Eukaryota; Metazoa; Chordata; Mammalia; Rodentia; Muridae
Source: RefSeq, a predicted model, not a curated record